GUUCGAGCGUCACUUCAACCCUCAAGCUCUGCUUGGUAUUGGGCCACACCGGCAACGGUGAGCCUUAAAAUCAGUGGCGGCGCCGCUGGGCCCUGAGCGUAGUAAUACUCCUCGCUACUGGGUCCCGGUGGAUGCUUGCCAUCAACCCCCAAUUUCUUAUGGUUGACCUCGGAUCAGGUAGGGAUACCCGCUGAACUUAA
RNAcentral lists this unclassified non-coding RNA (200 nucleotides) under soil metagenome. Its description in RNAcentral is "partial contains internal transcribed spacer 2 and large subunit ribosomal RNA". The record is from RNAcentral.